This 458-nucleotide ribosomal RNA is filed under the name uncultured bacterium. RNAcentral's name for it is "partial 16S ribosomal RNA". It matches the Rfam family "Bacterial small subunit ribosomal RNA", at positions 338 to 795 of the family's 1533-position model. The record is from RNAcentral.
CCUACGGGAGGCUGCAGUGAGGAAUAUUGGUCAAUGGGCGAGAGCCUGAACCAGCCAAGUCGCGUGAGGGAGUACUGCCCUAUGGGUUGUAAACCUCUUUUGUCGGGGAGCAAAAGCCGGACGUGUCCGGCUGUGAGAGUACCCGAAGAAAAAGCAUCGGCUAACUCCGUGCCAGCAGCCGCGGUAAUACGGAGGAUGCGAGCGUUAUCCGGAUUUAUUGGGUUUAAAGGGUGCGCAGGCGGAUUUUUAAGUCAGCGGUAAAAUCGUGGGGCUCAACCCCAUCCAGCCGUUGAAACUGGGGAUCUAGAGUGUGCGAGAGGUAUGCGGAAGGCGUGGUGUAGCGGUGAAAUGCAUAGAUAUCACGCAGAACCCCGAUUGCGAAGGCAGCAUACCGGUGCACAACUGACGCUCAGGCACGAAAGCGUGGGUAUCGAACAGGAUUAGAUACCCUGGUAGUC